CAGUCGCCGCGGGAAUACGUAGGUGGCAAGCGUUGUCCGGAAUUAUUGGGCGUAAAGGGCUCGCAGGCGGUUUCUUAAGUCUGAUGUGAAAGCCCCCGGCUCAACCGGGGAGGGUCAUUGGAAACUGGGAAACUUGAGUGCAGAAGAGGAGAGUGGAAUUCCACGUGUAGCGGUGAAAUGCGUAGAGAUGUUGAGGAACACCAGUGGCGAAGGCGACUCUCUGGUCUGUAACUGACGCUGAGGAGCGAAAGCGUGGGGAGCGAACAGGAUUAGAUACCCCAGUAGUCCCUGUCUCUUAUAC
This 301-nucleotide ribosomal RNA is filed under the name uncultured bacterium. RNAcentral's name for it is "partial 16S ribosomal RNA". It matches the Rfam family "Bacterial small subunit ribosomal RNA", at positions 509 to 807 of the family's 1533-position model. The record is from RNAcentral.